RNAcentral lists this ribosomal RNA (253 nucleotides) under uncultured bacterium. RNAcentral's name for it is "partial 16S ribosomal RNA". It matches the Rfam family "Bacterial small subunit ribosomal RNA", at positions 524 to 776 of the family's 1533-position model. The record is from RNAcentral.
UACGAAGGGGGCUAGCGUUGCUCGGAAUUAUUGGGCGUAAAGGGCGCGUAGGCGGCUGUACAAGUCAAAGGUGAAAUCCCUCGGCUCAACUGAGGAACUGCCUUUGAAACUGUACGGCUUGAGGCCGGGAGGGGGUAGCGGAAUUCCCAGUGUAGCGGUGAAAUGCGUAGAUACUGGGAGGAACACCAGUGGCGAAGGCGGCUACCUGGACCGGUUCUGACGCUGAGGCGCGAAAGCGUGGGUAGCAAACAGG